UAAGACGAACCGUACGAACGUUAUUCGGAAUUACUGGGCUUAAAGGGUGCGUAGGCUGUGCGGAAAGUUGGGUGUGAAAUCCUCCAGCUCAACUGGGGAACUGCGCUCAAAACUACCGUGCUCGAGGGAGACAGAGGUGAGCGGAACUUAGGGUGGAGCGGUGAAAUGCGUUGAUAUCCUAAGGAACACCGGUGGCGAAAGCGGCUCACUGGGUCUCUUCUGACGCUGAGGCACGAAAGCUAGGGGAGCAAACGGGAUUAGAUACCCCGGUAGUCCUAGCUGUAAACUCUGAGCACUGGAUCGAAGGGUCCUCCAUAGCCUUUCGGUCGUAGCGAAAGUGGUAAGUGCUCCGCCUGGGGAGUAUGGUCGCAAGGCUGAAACUUAAAUGAAUUGACGG
RNAcentral lists this ribosomal RNA (397 nucleotides) under uncultured bacterium. RNAcentral's name for it is "bacterial SSU rRNA". It matches the Rfam family "Bacterial small subunit ribosomal RNA", at positions 521 to 916 of the family's 1533-position model. The record is from RNAcentral.